This 253-nucleotide ribosomal RNA is filed under the name uncultured bacterium. RNAcentral's name for it is "partial 16S ribosomal RNA". It matches the Rfam family "Bacterial small subunit ribosomal RNA", at positions 524 to 776 of the family's 1533-position model. The record is from RNAcentral.
UACGUAGGGACCGAGCGUUGUCCGGAAUCAUUGGGCGUAAAGAGCGUGUAGGCGGCCACUUAAGUCCUGCGUGAAAUCUUGCGGCUCAACCGCAAGCGGUCGUGGGAAACUGGGUGGCUAGAGUGCGGGAGAGGAGAGUGGAAUUCCUGGUGUAGCGGUGGAAUGCGCAGAUAUCAGGAAGAACACCCGUGGCGAAGGCGGCUCUCUGGAACGCAACUGACGCUGAGACGCGAAAGCGUGGGGAGCGAUCCGG